AUGGGAUGGACGCCGAGACGGACAGACAGACCUGCUCGAUGCCUGAGCCCCGCAGCCCCCCAAGGAGAAGGGGAGAACGUCCGGGCAGGGAGUUCCGCCGCAGUCUCCCUCCCAGGAGUCCUGCGCAAGAGUUCAAUAAAGUUCGCUUUUGGGCUUGUGCUGCCCUCUGUGUUGGUGGCCGCUGUAAGUGGCUGUGUCACUGGGUGCAGGUUCCUGGGUGCGCAGGGGGCAGGGGCUGGGGGGAGCCGAUGGAUACAGACAAGCGAUUUGGGUGUGGGGGCCACGCUGCUGGGGAGGCUGCAGGCUGGGGGGGGAAUGGCAGCAGUGGUGGGGGGAGGCCAGCGCUGCCUGUGCUCCCUGGGCCAGGUGUGCCGGGGCUGCCCUGCGUGGAGCGAGCGAUGGGCGAGCGAGACCCGGGCUGCGGCUGCUGCGGAGGAGCAGGUGAAGGAGGGCCUGCGGGUCCCUGACGGGGGGCAGGGAAGGGCGCUGGGGAGGCUGGGUCCUGCGGGACCGGGGCCGGGGGCAGGGAGAGCCGCGGGGGGCAGGCGCCGGGUGAGGAAGCACGGGUUUGGCCCUGGAGCGGCGGCCGGGAGCACCUCGCCCCGCAGCAAGCCGGGAGUUGUGGUCUUCGGGCUCCGGGCUUCCCGUCGGCCACGCCGGUUACCGGAGCAUGCCGGGGGCUGCAGUUUCACGUUGCCGCUGGGCACGGGCCCGUUUAGGACGGGCAGUUCCUUCCUCCGCGCCACGGAGCGGGGUGCCUGCUCUUGCCGUUUCCGUGUGGUGUUCCUCGCGGCUCCCGCCGCUCCCCUUAACGCGCAGCCGGCCCCCGGAGCCGUCCCGGCCGUUCCGCUGCCGCCCACGCACGGAGCAGGCAGGCGGCGGCGCCCGGUGCCCGGCGGCCGGGCCGCGAGCGGCGCUGCGGGACGCGUGGCGCUCUGCUCCCGCCUGCUGGCCACAGCCGGGUACUGCAGGCGGAGGAGACGCGCAUGCGCUGUAGCAGUCGCCAGGCUUCGUGCCCCGCAGCAUGCCGGGAGUUGUGGUCUUUGGGUUUUGAGCUUCCUGUCGGCCGCGUCGGUUUCCGUGGCAUGCCGGGAAAUGUAG
RNAcentral lists this long non-coding RNA (1101 nucleotides) under Anser brachyrhynchus (Pink-footed goose). RNAcentral's name for it is "lncRNA (ENSABRG00000017119.1)". The record is from RNAcentral. Lineage: Eukaryota; Metazoa; Chordata; Aves; Anseriformes; Anatidae.